UAGGGAAUCUUGCGCAAUGGGGGAAACCCUGACGCAGCGACGCCGCGUGCGGGAUGAAGGCCUUCGGGUUGUAAACCGCUUUCAGCAGGGACGAAAUUGACGGUACCUGCAGAAGAAGGCCCGGCCAACUACGUGCCAGCAGCCGCGGUAAUACGUAGGGGCCUAGCGUUGUCCGGAUUUAUUGGGCGUAAAGAGCUCGUAGGCGGUUCGGUAAGUCAGGUGUGAAAUCUCCACGCUCAACGUGGAGGCGCCACCUGAAACUGCCGUGACUCGAGUCCGGUAGGGGAGUGUGGAAUUCCCGGUGUAGCGGUGAAAUGCGCAGAUAUCGGGAGGAACACCAGUGACGAAGGCGGCACUCUGGGCCGGUACUGACGCUGAGGAGCGAAAGCGUGGGGAGCGAACAGG
RNAcentral lists this ribosomal RNA (405 nucleotides) under Bacillota bacterium. RNAcentral describes it as "Firmicutes bacterium partial 16S ribosomal RNA". It matches the Rfam family "Bacterial small subunit ribosomal RNA", at positions 355 to 776 of the family's 1533-position model. The record is from RNAcentral. Lineage: Bacteria; Bacillati; Bacillota.